RNAcentral lists this ribosomal RNA (465 nucleotides) under uncultured bacterium. RNAcentral's name for it is "partial 16S ribosomal RNA". It matches the Rfam family "Bacterial small subunit ribosomal RNA", at positions 28 to 507 of the family's 1533-position model. The record is from RNAcentral.
GACGAACGCUGGCGGCGUGCUUAACACAUGCAAGUCGAACGGAAUGGCCCCCUUGUGGGGUACUCGAGUGGCGAACGGGUGAGUAACACGUGAGUAACCUACCCUUGACUUUGGGAUAACUUCAGGAAACUGGGGCUAAUACCGGAUAGGAGCUCCUGCUGCAUGGUGGGGGUUGGAAAGUUUCGGCGGUUGGGGAUGGACUCGCGGCUUAUCAGCUUGUUGGUGGGGUAGUGGCUCACCAAGGCUUUGACGGGUAGCCGGCCUGAGAGGGUGACCGGCCACAUUGGGACUGAGAUACGGCCCAGACUCCUACGGGAGGCAGCAGUGGGGAAUAUUGCACAAUGGGCGGAAGCCUGAUGCAGCAACGCCGCGUGCGGGAUGACGGCCUUCGGGUUGUAAACCGCUUUCGCCUGUGACGAAGCGUGAGUGACGGUAAUGGGUAAAGAAGCACCGGCUAACUACGUG